Molecule: transfer RNA, 76 nt
Filed under: Clostridia bacterium
Lineage: Bacteria; Bacillati; Bacillota; Clostridia
Description: tRNA-Trp
Rfam family: tRNA
About the family: Transfer RNA (tRNA) molecules are approximately 80 nucleotides in length. Their secondary structure includes four short double-helical elements and three loops (D, anti-codon, and T loops).
Source: RNAcentral
AGGCGUAUAGCUCAGUUGGUAGAGUCGCGGUCUCCAAAACCGUUGGUCGUGGGUUCGAGUCCUACUGCGCCUGCCA